GUUUCAGGGCGGGGUGAAAUUCCCCACCGGCGGUAAAGCCCGCGACCAACUGUGUUUCAGUUGCUGAUUCGGUGAAAUUCCGAAGCCGACGGUAAAGUCCGGAUGGAAGAAA
RNAcentral lists this non-coding RNA (112 nucleotides) under uncultured Gemmiger sp. RNAcentral describes it as "FMN riboswitch (RFN element)". It matches the Rfam family "FMN riboswitch aptamer (RFN element)". From Rfam's summary of the family: The RFN element is a highly conserved domain that is found frequently in the 5'-untranslated regions of prokaryotic mRNAs that encode for flavin mononucleotide (FMN) biosynthesis and transport proteins. This element is a metabolite-dependent riboswitch that directly binds FMN in the absence of proteins. In Bacillus subtilis, the riboswitch most likely controls gene expression by causing premature transcription termination within the 5' untranslated region of the ribDEAHT operon and precluding access to the ribosome-binding site of ypaA mRNA. Lineage: Bacteria; Bacillati; Bacillota; Clostridia; Eubacteriales; Oscillospiraceae. The record is from RNAcentral.